UAGGUUAAAAUUAUAGAAUUAAUGAAUAAACGGUGGAAACUUGUUAAAAAGAUGUAGAAACUGUCCUUAGACCUUAGAUAAUGAUUAAGAUGAAUUAAGGAAUCGAAAUUAGGUUUAAAACCUUGAGAAAGGAUUGAAUUGGAGAAAACGAAAACUAGGUCAAAUCCCUAAAAUUGAUGAUUAAACGGUAAGAAUUGAUUAAAUUGGUGUAGAAAGUGUUCCUGGACCUUAGAUAAUGUUUAGGACAAACUUUGGAAUCGAUACUAGGCUUAGAACCAUGUGAAUCGUC
RNAcentral lists this long non-coding RNA (289 nucleotides) under Medicago truncatula (barrel medic). RNAcentral's name for it is "long non-coding RNA (MTRU_LNC007505)". The record is from RNAcentral. Lineage: Eukaryota; Viridiplantae; Streptophyta; Magnoliopsida; Fabales; Fabaceae.